Molecule: ribosomal RNA, 511 nt
Filed under: Agabus ramblae
Lineage: Eukaryota; Metazoa; Arthropoda; Insecta; Coleoptera; Dytiscidae
Also listed under: 1 other name
Description: partial 16S ribosomal RNA
Rfam family: Bacterial large subunit ribosomal RNA (bases 388-511)
Source: RNAcentral
GUCCUUUUGAAAUUGAUUUAAGGUUUAACCUGCCCACUGAAAUUUUUUGAAGGGCCGCAGUAAUUUGACUGUGCAAAGGUAGCAUAAUCAUUAGUUUUUUAAUUAAAAGCUUGUAUGAAGGGUUGGACGAGAUAAAUUCUGUCUCUAUUUAAUUAAAUUUAGAAUUUAAUUUUUAAGUUAAAAAGCUUAAAUUUUUUUAAAAGACGAGAAGACCCUAUAGAUCUUUAUAUUAGAAAUAUUAAUUUUAAUUAGGAAUAUUUUAUAUUUUAUUAUUAAUAAUAUUUUAUUGGGGUAAUAAAAAGAUUUAAUUAAUUCUUUUUUUAUUUAAACAUUAAUAAAUGAUUAUAUGAUCCAUUUUUAUUGAUUAAAAGAUUAAGUUACCUUAGGGAUAACAGCGUAAUUUUUUUAGAGAGUUCAUAUCGAUAAAAAAGUUUGCGACCUCGAUGUUGGAUUAAAAAUUAUCUUAGGUGUAGAAUUUUAAGAUUUUGGUCUGUUCGACCAUUAAAUUUUU